Molecule: long non-coding RNA, 70 nt
Organism: Amblyraja radiata (thorny skate)
Lineage: Eukaryota; Metazoa; Chordata; Chondrichthyes; Rajiformes; Rajidae
Exons: 3
Source: RefSeq, a predicted model, not a curated record
GAGAGGUGGGGGCAAGACAAAGCUUGGCUAGUGGUAGCUGGAUACAGGUGAGAGGGAGGGAGGGAAAUUG